This 3148-nucleotide ribosomal RNA is filed under the name Streptomyces sp. SGAir0924. Its description in RNAcentral is "23S ribosomal RNA". It matches the Rfam family "Bacterial large subunit ribosomal RNA". Lineage: Bacteria; Bacillati; Actinomycetota; Actinomycetes; Kitasatosporales; Streptomycetaceae. The record is from RNAcentral.
ACAGUGGACGCGAGCAUCUGUGGCCAAGUUUUUAAGGGCGCACGGUGGAUGCCUUGGCACCAGGAACCGAUGAAGGACGUGGGAGGCCACGAUAGGCCCCGGGGAGUCGUCAACCAGGCUUUGAUCCGGGGGUGUCCGAAUGGGGAAACCCGGCAGUCGUCAUGGGCUGUCACCCGCUGCUGAACACAUAGGCAGUGUGGAGGGAACGCGGGGAAGUGAAACAUCUCAGUACCCGCAGGAAGAGAAAACAACCGUGAUUCCGGGAGUAGUGGCGAGCGAAACUGGAUGAGGCCAAACCGUAUACGUGUGAGACCCGGCAGGGGUUGCGUGUGCGGGGUUGUGGGAUCUCUCUUCCACGGUCUGCCGGCCGUGGGGCGAGUCAGAAACCGUUGAUGUAGACGAAGGACAUGCGAAAGGUCCGGCGUAGAGGGUAAGACCCCCGUAGUCGAAACGUCAGCGGCUUGCUUGAGAGACACCCAAGUAGCACGGGGCCCGAGAAAUCCCGUGUGAAUCUGGCGGGACCACCCGCUAAGCCUAAAUAUUCCCUGGUGACCGAUAGCGGAUAGUACCGUGAGGGAAUGGUGAAAAGUACCGCGGGAGCGGAGUGAAAUAGUACCUGAAACCGUGUGCCUACAAGCCGUGGGAGCGUCGGACAUCAGCUUGCUGGUGUCUCGUGACUGCGUGCCUUUUGAAGAAUGAGCCUGCGAGUUUGCGGUGUGUUGCGAGGUUAACCCGGGUGGGGUAGCCGUAGCGAAAGCGAGUCCGAACAGGGCGAUUCAGUAGCACGCUCAAGACCCGAAGCGGAGUGAUCUAGCCAUGGGCAGGUUGAAGCGGAGGUAAGACUUCGUGGAGGACCGAACCCACCAGGGUUGAAAACCUGGGGGAUGACCUGUGGUUAGGGGUGAAAGGCCAAUCAAACUCCGUGAUAGCUGGUUCUCCCCGAAAUGCAUUUAGGUGCAGCGUCGUGUGUUUCUUGCCGGAGGUAGAGCACUGGAUAGGCGAUGGGCCCUACCGGGUUACUGACCUUAGCCAAACUCCGAAUGCCGGUAAGUGAGAGCGCGGCAGUGAGACUGUGGGGGAUAAGCUCCAUGGUCGAGAGGGAAACAGCCCAGAGCAUCGACUAAGGCCCCUAAGCGUACGCUAAGUGGGAAAGGAUGUGGAGUCGCACAGACAACCAGGAGGUUGGCUUAGAAGCAGCCACCCUUGAAAGAGUGCGUAAUAGCUCACUGGUCUAGUGAUUCCGCGCCGACAAUGUAGCGGGGCUCAAGCGUACCGCCGAAGUCGUGUCAUUGCAGCAAUACGGCCAACGCCGGCUGUGAUGGGUAGGGGAGCGUCGUGUGCCGGGUGAAGCAGCCGCGUAAGCGAGUUGUGGACGGUUCACGAGUGAGAAUGCAGGCAUGAGUAGCGAUACAAACGUGAGAAACGUUUGCGCCGAUUGACUAAGGGUUCCUGGGUCAAGCUGAUCUGCCCAGGGUAAGUCGGGACCUAAGGCGAGGCCGACAGGCGUAGUCGAUGGAUAACCGGUUGAUAUUCCGGUACCCGCUGUGAAGCGUCAAACAUCGAAUCCAGUGAUGCUAAGGCCGUGAAGCCGCCCCUGAUCUCUUCGGAGUGAGGGGGAGUGGUGGAGCCGCUGAACCAAGUUGGUAGUAGGUGAGUGAUGGGGUGACGCAGGAAGGUAGUCCAUCCCGGGCGGUGGUUGUCCCGGGGUAAGGGUGUAGGACGUCAGGUAGGUAAAUCCGCCUGGCAAUAGUCUGAGACCUGAUGCCGAGCCGAUUGUGGUGAAGUGGAUGAUCCUAUGCUGUCGAGAAAAGCCUCUAGCGAGUUUCAUGGCGGCCCGUACCCUAAACCGACUCAGGUGGUCAGGUAGAGAAUACCGAGGCGUUCGGGUGAACUAUGGUUAAGGAACUCGGCAAAAUGCCCCCGUAACUUCGGGAGAAGGGGGGCCAUUCCUGGUGAUCGGAUUUACUCCGUGAGCUGGGGGUGGCCGCAGAGACCAGCGAGAAGCGACUGUUUACUAAAAACACAGGUCCGUGCGAAGCCGUAAGGCGAUGUAUACGGACUGACGCCUGCCCGGUGCUGGAACGUUAAGGGGACCGGUUAGCUCCAUUUCGGUGGGGCGAAGCUGAGAACUUAAGCGCCAGUAAACGGCGGUGGUAACUAUAACCAUCCUAAGGUAGCGAAAUUCCUUGUCGGGUAAGUUCCGACCUGCACGAAUGGCGUAACGACUUCUCGACUGUCUCAACCAUAGGCCCGGUGAAAUUGCACUACGAGUAAAGAUGCUCGUUUCGCGCAGCAGGACGGAAAGACCCCGGGACCUUUACUACAGUUUGAUAUUGGUGUUCGGUUCGGCUUGUGUAGGAUAGCUGGGAGACUUUGAAGCUCGCACGCCAGUGUGGGUGGAGUCGUCGUUGAAAUACCAGUCUGGUCGUGCUGGAUGUCUAACCUGGGUCCGUGAUCCGGAUCAGGGACAGUGUCUGAUGGGUAGUUUAACUGGGGCGGUUGCCUCCUAAAGGGUAACGGAGGCGCCCAAAGGUUCCCUCAGCCUGGUUGGCAAUCAGGUGUUGAGUGUAAGUGCACAAGGGAGCUUGACUGUGAGACCGACGGGUCGAGCAGGGACGAAAGUCGGGACUAGUGAUCCGGCGGUGGCUUGUGGAAGCGCCGUCGCUCAACGGAUAAAAGGUACCCCGGGGAUAACAGGCUGAUCUUCCCCAAGAGUCCAUAUCGACGGGAUGGUUUGGCACCUCGAUGUCGGCUCGUCGCAUCCUGGGGCUGGAGUCGGUCCCAAGGGUUGGGCUGUUCGCCCAUUAAAGCGGUACGCGAGCUGGGUUUAGAACGUCGUGAGACAGUUCGGUCCCUAUCCGCUGUGCGCGUAGGAGUCUUGAGAAGGGCUGUCCCUAGUACGAGAGGACCGGGACGGACGAACCUCUGGUGUGCCAGUUGUUCUGCCAAGGGCAUGGCUGGUUGGCUACGUUCGGGAGGGAUAACCGCUGAAAGCAUCUAAGCGGGAAGCCUGCUUCGAGAUGAGGACUCCCACCUCCUAGAGAGGGUAAGGCUCCCAGUAGACGACUGGGUUGAUAGGCCAGAUAUGGAAGCCGGGUAACCGGUGGAGUUGACUGGUACUAAUAGGCCGAGGGCUUGUCCUCAGUUG